CCCAGAGUGCCUAUCAUUCAGCCCUCUGAUGGCAACUCUCAGACAACUCGGGGACAGACAGAACACAAAACCAGAAAUAAGGACUUGCAACCGUGGCUGAAGAUGCCCAGAGAGUCGUGUAUGUAACAGCCAGCGAGAGGCAGAUGACAGCAACAAGAAAUUUCACAGCUCCAAAGAGUGAACGUACCACGGAUUAGUACCGGAGACAGAAAUACUUCUAUGAAAACCAUGAAGGAAGUUCCGGAAUCUAGAGUAACUCUCGGAUGCACAGAACUGGAGACUUAAAAGAUCCUCAGUUCCCCCAGGACCUGAGCAUGUAGAAACGUGGGGGCCUGGCUGUCCUUCUGGUCUGCACGCGUGGCCUCAAGCCCGAAUCCCUACAACAGCAUCUCCACUGACAGCAAAGUGCUUCUUCGGUAGGUGUGAGCUUAUUGUCUCGGUACUGUCGCUAGGAAAAACAGCUCAUUUAGAGGGCUGGUGUAGCAACCAGCUGGUGUAGAACAUGCUUGAGAAAUCUCUUAUCAGAACUUCGC
RNAcentral lists this long non-coding RNA (533 nucleotides) under Gallus gallus (chicken). Lineage: Eukaryota; Metazoa; Chordata; Aves; Galliformes; Phasianidae. The record is from RNAcentral.